GAUGAACGCUGACAGAAUGCUUAACACAUGCAAGUCAACUUGAACUUCGGUUUGGGUGGCGGACGGGUGAGUAACGCGUAAAGAACUUGCCUCACAGAUAGGGACAACAUUUGGAAACGAAUGCUAAUACCUGAUAUUAUGAUUUUAGGGCAUCCUAGAAUUAUGAAAGCUAUAUGCGCCGUGGGAGAGCUUUGCGUCCCAUUAGCUAGUUGGAGAGGUAACGGCUCACCAAGGCGAUGAUGGGUAGCCGGCCUGAGAGGGUGAUCGGCCACAAGGGGACUGAGACACGGCCCUUACUCCUACGGGAGGCAGCAGUGGGGAAUAUUGGACAAUGGACCAAGAGUCUGAUCCAGCAAUUCUGUGUGCACGAUGAAGUUUUUCGGAAUGUAAAGUGCUUUCAGUUGGAAGAAA
This 411-nucleotide ribosomal RNA is filed under the name Fusobacterium periodonticum. RNAcentral's name for it is "bacterial SSU rRNA". It matches the Rfam family "Bacterial small subunit ribosomal RNA", at positions 28 to 449 of the family's 1533-position model. The record is from RNAcentral. Lineage: Bacteria; Fusobacteriati; Fusobacteriota; Fusobacteriia; Fusobacteriales; Fusobacteriaceae.